This 129-nucleotide small RNA is filed under the name Klebsiella pneumoniae. Its description in RNAcentral is "RtT sRNA". It matches the Rfam family "RtT RNA". Rfam says of the family: This family represents a bacterial cis-regulatory element known as RtT RNA. The exact function of RtT is unknown although it is thought that it may be involved in changing the cellular response in relation to amino acid starvation. The record is from RNAcentral. Lineage: Bacteria; Pseudomonadati; Pseudomonadota; Gammaproteobacteria; Enterobacterales; Enterobacteriaceae.
UAUUCUGCCCUACAGGGAAGGAUGAGAAGCUUCGACUAAGGUUCGACUCGAGCGAAGCGAGAGAACAUUGCCGCAGGCAAUGGCCCGAAGGCGAGGCGCUUUAGCGCCGAGAAAUCCUUCCCCCCACCA